This 204-nucleotide ribosomal RNA is filed under the name sponge bacterium IS1. Its description in RNAcentral is "partial 16S ribosomal RNA". It matches the Rfam family "Bacterial small subunit ribosomal RNA", at positions 199 to 391 of the family's 1533-position model. The record is from RNAcentral.
GGGGAGAGCAGGGGAUCUUCGGACCUUGCGCUAUUGGAUAUGCCCGCGUCGGAUUAGCUAGUUGGUGAGGUAAUGGCUCACCAAGGCAACGAUCCGUAGCUGGGCUGAGAGGAUGAUCAGCCACACUGGGACUGAGACACGGCCCAGACUCCUACGGGAGGCAGCAGUGGGGAAUAUUGGACAAUGGGCGCAAGCCUGAUCCAG